CUGGGGGUCAGUAAGAAGGGCUCCACUUUGGAGGAGUGGGCCUCUGGCUAAGAGCCAGGGUGAGAAGUCCCCAGGCUACCCUCUCCAGGGGCGUCUCUUGGCCCCAGUCGCCAUUCCUCCUAAGAUCUUGGAGCCAGAGAUGGUCUGGAGUCUGCACGGCACAGCCUUCUCCCUCCCCUGCCACCUCAAGUACGCACUAAAGAAGCAGAGGCCACACAGCGCAUGCCCGCCCUUUCCAAGCUGCCACACCCAGGCCCAGCCUCACCUGUAAGCCUUCUUGGAGUCAAAAUCCAUGCCACCUCCCAAGCCCAUCAUCAUGCCCAGGAAGGGAUCCGUCUGUGGGGAGAGGACAGCGAAGGGCCCUGCACUGAGCCAUCAGAUCGACCUUGUGUUUGCUUCCAGGGUCUAACUGUGCUGCCCUGGCUGUCCUGGAGCUCGCUCUGCAGACCAGGCUGGCUGUGAACUUACAAAGAUUCACCUUUCCUCUGCAUCCUCAGUGCUGGGAUUAGAGGUGUGCCUCAGCAUACCUAGCCUUAUUUUUCUAUUUACUAACUAAUGUGUGUGUGUGUGUGUGUGUGUGUGUGUGUCUAUGUGUGUACACAUGUGGACCUAGAGGUCAGCCAAGAGCCCAACCAUGUGUACUGUUUCUUAGGAAUUAGCCAAUUUUGAUUGAUUGAUUGAUUGAUUGGAUAGUGUCUCAAAAUAUAUGUAUGUAGUCCUGGCUAAUAUGGAAUUCACUAAGGAGACACCUGCCUCUGCCUACCAAGUGCUGGGAUCAAAGUGUGCCCCACACCACUUGGCUUAUUUUUAUCUAACUGUAUGUAUGUCCUUUAUGUGUGGGUGCCAAAGAGGACAGAAGAGGACAUUGGAUCUCCAGGAGUUGGGGCUGAAGGCAGUUGUGAGCCACCUGACCUGAAUCUUAACCACCGAGCCAUCUCUCUAUCCCCAAAAAAUUAUAUAUAUAUAAAUGAUUGAACUCAGGGCCUUGUAUAUGCCAAGCAAACACUGCCACUGAGUUAUAUCCUCA
Long non-coding RNA from Apodemus sylvaticus (European woodmouse), 1027 nucleotides. RefSeq lists it as uncharacterized. The record is from RefSeq and is a predicted model, not a curated record. The transcript is spliced from 2 exons. Lineage: Eukaryota; Metazoa; Chordata; Mammalia; Rodentia; Muridae.